RNAcentral lists this ribosomal RNA (388 nucleotides) under uncultured Bacteroidales bacterium. RNAcentral describes it as "bacterial SSU rRNA". It matches the Rfam family "Bacterial small subunit ribosomal RNA", at positions 28 to 411 of the family's 1533-position model. The record is from RNAcentral. Lineage: Bacteria; Pseudomonadati; Bacteroidota; Bacteroidia; Bacteroidales.
GAUGAACGCUAGCGAUAGGCUUAACACAUGCAAGUCGAGGGGCAGCGAGAUGUAGCAAUACGUCGUCGGCGACCGGCGAAUGGGUGAGUAACACGUAUGCAACUUACCUCUUAGUGGUGAAUAACUCGAUGAAAGUCGGACUAAUACACCAUACUCUCCUUAGAUCACAUGAGAAGAGGAGGAAAGAUUAAUCGCUAAGAGAUAGGCCUGCGUUCCAUUAGCUAGUUGGUAAGGUAAUGGCUUACCAAGGCAACGAUGGAUAGGGGGACUGAGAGGUUGACCCCCCACAUUGACACUGAGAUACGGGUCAAACUCCUACGGGAGGCAGCAGUGAGGAAUAUUGGUCAAUGGGCGAGAGCCUGAACCAGCCAAGUCGCGUGAAGGAAGA